Molecule: long non-coding RNA, 1125 nt
Filed under: Hordeum vulgare
Lineage: Eukaryota; Viridiplantae; Streptophyta; Magnoliopsida; Poales; Poaceae
Description: long non-coding RNA (HVUL_LNC001428)
Source: RNAcentral
GUUUAUGUAGGAAGGGAUAUCUGCUCUUAAGGAAACAUUGCUUGCGAAAAAACAAUGAAGAAAGCAAGCGAUCAGUCAAUCACAAACAGAGCAUUAGUUCUGGCAAAGUCAAAGAAUCUGUUACUUCUGUUGGAUCUGAAGAACAACCUGAAAAAGUAAGCGUGGAAGAUCAUAUCACGACCGAGGAAGAGAAUUCUUGUGUUAGUUCAGAGCAAGAAAUGCAGGAUAAGACAACUAAAGCAAUUCUAGAGAACCAGGCGGAUGAAAACCCCUUUUCAUCUAAUUCACGUGAUGACAAUGAGAGUGAGAAAAGUGAUGUGACCCAUGUGGAAUCCCAUGAUGGUGUGGCCUCAGUGCACCAGUUUUCAGUUGAGGAUGAAGAAGAAAGUAUGCCCCUGCCCAAAUAUUUGAACACAGGAGGAAGUAUAGAAGCUGAAACUAAGUUAUCUAAGGAUGCCCGUCCUGUGAAGUCUGCACGGACAGUUGAGGAUUUUGAGACAUGGCAAAGGAUAAUUCGUUUGGAUGCAGUUCGUGCUAACAAUGAAUGGGUUUCCUACUCUCCAUCCCAAGCCGCUGUUACCAGGGAGAAGGCAAUUGAAUCUGCUUCAGCUGUUUGUCUCAAAGACUAUGAGCACUUGGAAGCACAUAGGAUCCAUCAUGCGUCGCGUCUUGUUGCAAUACUUGAGGCCUACGCAACGUAUGACCCAGAAAUUGGCUAUUGCCAGGGCAUGAGCGACCUCCUUGCACCUCUCCUUGCUGUGCUGGAGGAAGACGAUGAAGCCUUCUGGUGCUUUGCCGGUUUCAUGAGGAAAGCCCGCCACAACUUCAGACUCGACGAAGUGGGUAUCCGCAGGCAACUCAACAUGGUCUCCAAGAUAAUAAAAACCAAGGACUUCCAUCUUUACAGGCACCUGGAGAUGCUCGAAGCCGCAGACUGCUUUUUCGUUUAUAGAAUGGUGGUUGUGAUGUUCCGGAGGGAACUCACCUUCGAGCAGACCCUCAGCCUGUGGGAGGUGAUGUGGGCCGAUCAGGCAGCGAGGCGUGCUGGGAUCACAAGAUCGUCCUGGGGAAAACUUCGGCUUGGAGCCCCUCCGACAGAUGACCUGCUGCUGUAUGCAAUUGCAG